RNAcentral lists this ribosomal RNA (301 nucleotides) under uncultured bacterium. Its description in RNAcentral is "partial 16S ribosomal RNA". It matches the Rfam family "Bacterial small subunit ribosomal RNA", at positions 509 to 807 of the family's 1533-position model. The record is from RNAcentral.
CAGCCGCCGCGGUAAUACGGAGGGAGCUAGCAUUGUUCGGAAUCACUGGGCGUAAAGCGCACGUAGGCGGCUAUUCAAGUCAGGGGUGAAAGCCCGGGGCUCAACCCCGGAACUGCCUAUGAAACUAGAUAGCUUGAAUCUUGGAGAGGCGAGUGGAAUUCCGAGUGUAGAGGUGAAAUUCGUAGAUAUUCGGAAGAACACCAGUGGCGAAGGCGACUCGCUGGACAAGUAUUGACGCUGAGGUGCGAAAGCGUGGGGAGCAAACAGGAUUAGAUACCCCCGUAGUCCCUGUCUCUUAUAC